Long non-coding RNA from Oryzias melastigma (Indian medaka), 480 nucleotides. RefSeq lists it as uncharacterized. NCBI's taxonomy places the organism in Eukaryota, Metazoa, Chordata, Actinopteri, Beloniformes, Adrianichthyidae. The record is from RefSeq and is a predicted model, not a curated record. The transcript is spliced from 3 exons.
UCAGCUGUGAAGUUCUGGUUUCAGUUCUGAAGAACAACCCGUCCAGACUGACAGAACUGGACCUGAGUGGAAACAGAAUCCAGGAUUCCGGAUUUCUUCAUCUGCGUGGUUUUCUGGAGAGUCCAGACUGCAGACUGCUGACUCUGAGGUUGAGGAUCUGCAAUUUGUCAAAGAUCAGCUGUGCUGCUCUGGUCGCAACUCUGAAUUUAAACCCAUCCCACCUGACAGAACUCGACCUGAGCUUAAAUGACCUUCAUUCUUCAGAUGUUCAGCAGCUCCGGGAUCUGGUGAAGAGUCCAAACUCCAAACUGCAGACUCUGAGGUUGUGAGUCUGAUGUUCCUUCUGGUGGAUCAGAGAAAAUCAUCAUUAUCAUCAUCAUCAUCAUCAUCAUCAUCAUCAUCAUCAUCAUCAUCAUCUGGUCUGCAGAGAUGUUGUUCCUGGAGGUGGAGAGCAGAGUGAUGGAGGAAUCAGAGGAAGUG